GGAAGUAAAGUCGUAACAAGGUUCCCGUAGGUGAACCUGCGGAAGGAUCAUUAUUGUAUAACCGAGGUGCGAGGGCUGUCGCUGACCCGAAAGGUCGUGCACGCCCGAGUGCCCUCGCACACAUCCAUCUCACCCCUAUGUGCACCACCGCGUGGGUCCCCCUUUGGCUUGUUCGGAGGGGGGCUUACGUUUUCACACAAACUUUGUAUGCAGUGUAGAAUGUAUUUUUUGUUUUUGCGAUCACGCAAUCAAUACAACUUUCAACAACGGAUCUCUUGGCUCUC
This 284-nucleotide unclassified non-coding RNA is filed under the name plant metagenome. RNAcentral's name for it is "partial contains small subunit ribosomal RNA, internal transcribed spacer 1, and 5.8S ribosomal RNA". The stretch from base 1 to 53 matches the Rfam family "Eukaryotic small subunit ribosomal RNA", at positions 1778 to 1831 of the family's 1831-position model. The record is from RNAcentral.